GAUGAACGCUGGCGGCGUGCCUAAUACAUGCAAGUCGAGCGAACGGACGAGAAGCUUGCUUCUCUGAUGUUAGCGGCGGACGGGUGAGUAACACGUGGAUAACCUACCUAUAAGACUGGGAUAACUUCGGGAAACCGGAGCUAAUACCGGAUAAUAUUUUGAACCGCAUGGUUCAAAAGUAAAAGACGGUCUUGCUGUCACUUAUAGAUGGAUCCGCGCUGCAUUAGCUAGUUGGUAAGGUAACGGCUUACCAAGGCAACGAUGCAUAGCCGACCUGAGAGGGUGAUCGGCCACACUGGAACUGAGACACGGUCCAGACUCCUACGGGAGGCAGCAGUAGGGAAUCUUCCGCAAUGGGCGAAAGCCUGACGGAGCAACGCCGCGCGAGUGAUGAAGGUCUUCGGAUCGUAAAACUCUGUUAUUAGGGAAGAACAUAUGUGUAAGUAACUGUGCACAUCUUGACGGUACCUAAUCAGAAAGCCACGGCUAACUACGUG
This 497-nucleotide ribosomal RNA is filed under the name uncultured bacterium. RNAcentral describes it as "partial 16S ribosomal RNA". It matches the Rfam family "Bacterial small subunit ribosomal RNA", at positions 28 to 507 of the family's 1533-position model. The record is from RNAcentral.